Punica granatum (pomegranate) is the source of this 107-nucleotide non-coding RNA. The record is from Rfam. NCBI's taxonomy places the organism in Eukaryota, Viridiplantae, Streptophyta, Magnoliopsida, Myrtales, Lythraceae.
GUCUCUACGGAGACAUCCGAUAAAAUAGGAAUGAUACAGAGAAGAUUAGCAUGGCCCCUGUGCGUAGAACAGAAAUCCCCGGAAUUAGGGACAUUCACACCUUGUUU